AGUUCCCUGGAAAGGGGCGCCAGAGAGGGU
This 30-nucleotide small nuclear RNA is filed under the name Arabidopsis thaliana (thale cress). Its description in RNAcentral is "snRNA_09128". Lineage: Eukaryota; Viridiplantae; Streptophyta; Magnoliopsida; Brassicales; Brassicaceae. The record is from RNAcentral.